AGUAUAAAUACCUUAAGACGCGGAGUUAAGAGGAAAGGAAGAAGAAAGAAAGAAAGAAGUUUGAGAGGUUCUUCCACUGGUGUUCGGCGCACGAUCACGGAUCAAUGCAAAACUCACAAAGUCAACAAAAGGUAUUUUUACCUUCUUAAAUUUUUUUUUACAUAGUUUAUCAAUACGCUUUUCUAGAUUAGGUUGAAAAUACAAUUAACAGCUGUAAACUAGUGAAAUUCAUAAUUCAUACAGGGGAAGGCUAGUUUUAGCAUGUAGCAUAGCUAAUUAUUAUCCGGCAGGGCACCAUUAGAUAAAAAUAGAAAAGUAGGUAACAUGUAUAAUUGAGAAAUGUAUUUUAUGCUCAAACUUUAUUUUUUAUUUUCAUUAUACAGAUCCACGUAUCUAUUUGCAACAUGAACGAUAAAUAUUGCUGUCCCCUUUGCUCAUACAAGCUACAGAACCAUAUAGCACAAACUGCUAUGGUUCAACAUAACGAUGCCUUUAAAUGUUCUUGAAGCUGUUUUCCAGGAGGUGAUACCAGCACAGGGAGACUCAGCUUACCUCACCUUGGCAUUGACCUGCAAGUGCUUUGAAGCCGUUGUGUCUGACCCAGUUUUUAGGAAGAAGACUCACUUUGCUUGGCUGGAUGGUGAGAUCAACUGGGGUAAAUUUUCAAAAACAUUCAAGGCAGAAAAC
Xiphophorus hellerii (green swordtail) is the source of this 687-nucleotide long non-coding RNA. RefSeq lists it as uncharacterized. NCBI's taxonomy places the organism in Eukaryota, Metazoa, Chordata, Actinopteri, Cyprinodontiformes, Poeciliidae. The transcript has 3 exons. The record is from RefSeq and is a predicted model, not a curated record.